AGUCGACUAGCAUGCGAGUCGAUGUAGCAUACAUGGCGUACUGCUCAGUAACACGUGGACAACCUACCCUGAGGUCGGGGAUAAACCCGGGAAACUGGGUAUAAUACCCGAUAGAUCUAGAUUGCUGGAAUGCUUUUAGGUCUAAAGUUCCGACGCCUCAGGAUGGGUCUGCGGCCUAUCAGGGUAGUAGUGGGUGUAAAGUACCUACUAGCCUACGACGGGUACGGGUUGUGAGAGCAAGAGCCCGGAGAUGGAUUCUGAGACACGAAUCCAGGCCCUACGGGGUGCAGCAGGCGCGAAACCUUUACAAUGCUGGCAACAGCGAUAAGGGGACCUCGAGUGCUACGAUACAAUCGUGGCUGUCUAGUUGCCUAAAAAGCAAUUGAUAGC
Molecule: ribosomal RNA, 390 nt
Filed under: uncultured methanogenic archaeon
Lineage: Archaea; Methanobacteriati; Methanobacteriota
Description: bacterial SSU rRNA
Rfam family: Archaeal small subunit ribosomal RNA
Source: RNAcentral